Molecule: ribosomal RNA, 405 nt
Filed under: uncultured bacterium
Lineage: Bacteria
Description: bacterial SSU rRNA
Rfam family: Bacterial small subunit ribosomal RNA
Source: RNAcentral
UCGGGAAUAUUGCCCAAUGCGCGAAAGCGUGAGGCAGCAACGCCGCGUGCGCGAUGAAGGCCUUCGGGUCGUAAAGCGCUUUUCAGUGGGAUGAGGAAGGACAGUACCACUGGAAUAAGGUACGGCUAACUACGUGCCAGCAGCCGCGGUAAAACGUAGGUACCGAGCGUUAUCCGGAUUUACUGGGCGUAAAGCGUGUUCAGGCGGUCUAGCAAGUCGGGCAUGAAAUCUCUCGGCUCAACCGGGAGGGGUUGUCCGAUACUGCUGGACUGGAGGGCAGCAGAGGGUGGUGGAAUUCCGGGUGUAGUGGUGAAAUGCGUAGAUAUCCGGAGGAACACCAGUGGCGAAGGCGGCCACCUGGGCUGUACCUGACGCUAACACACGAAAGCUAGGGGAGCGAACGGG